UCUUUCUCCAUAUCUCUUACACC
RNAcentral lists this small nuclear RNA (23 nucleotides) under Arabidopsis thaliana (thale cress). Its description in RNAcentral is "snRNA_17443". Lineage: Eukaryota; Viridiplantae; Streptophyta; Magnoliopsida; Brassicales; Brassicaceae. The record is from RNAcentral.